This 643-nucleotide ribosomal RNA is filed under the name Hepatozoon canis. RNAcentral describes it as "bacterial SSU rRNA". It matches the Rfam family "Eukaryotic small subunit ribosomal RNA", at positions 181 to 812 of the family's 1831-position model. The record is from RNAcentral. Lineage: Eukaryota; Apicomplexa; Hepatozoidae.
UCUCAACUUUAUUAGAAGAGACGCAUUUAUUAGAUAAAAAGCCAAUGCAUGCUUUUACAGUAUGGAAAUUGGUGAUUUAUAAUAACUUGGCAAAUCGCAAAGUGAAAACAGGCGAUAAAUCAUUCAAGUUUCUGACCUAUCAGCUUUCGACGGUAUGGUAUUGGCUUACCGUGGCAGUGACGGUUAACGGGGGAUUAGGGUUCGAUUCCGGAGAGGGAGCCUGAGAAACGGCUACCACAUCUAAGGAAGGCAGCAGGCGCGCAAAUUACCCAAUUCUAACAGUUUGAGAGAGGUAGUAACAAGAAAUAACAAUACAAGGCAAUUAAAAUGUUUUGUAAUUGGAAUGAUAGAAAUUUAAACCCUUUUUAAAGUAUCAAUUGGAGGGCAAGUCUGGUGCCAGCAGCCGCGGUAAUUCCAGCUCCAAUAGCGUAUAUUAAAAUUGUUGCAGUUAAAAAGCUCGUAGUUGAAGUUCUGCUAAAAGUAACCGGUCUGCUUUUAAUAAAAGUGGUAUCUUGGUGUGUAUUUAGCAAUGAUGUCCUUUGAAGUGUUUUUUACUUUAUUGUAAUAAAGCAUAUUCAGGACUUUUACUUUGAGAAAAUUAGAGUGUUUCUAGCAGGCCGACGCUUUGAAUACUGCAGCAUGA